CCUACGGGUGGCAGCAGUGAGGAAUAUUGGUCAAUGGACGAGAGUCUGAACCAGCCAAGUAGCGUGAAGGAUGACUGCCCUAUGGGUUGUAAACUUCUUUUAUAUGGGAAUAAAAUGUUCCACGUGUGGGAUUUUGUAUGUACCAUAUGAAUAAGGAUCGGCUAACUCCGUGCCAGCAGCCGCGGUCAUACUGAGGAUCCGAGCGUUAUCCGGAUUUAUUGGGUUUAAAGGGAGCGUAGGUGGAUUGUUAAGUCAGUUGUGAAAGUUUGCGGCUCAACCGUAAAAUUGCAGUUGAAACUGGCAGUCUUGAGUACAGUAGAGGUGGGCGGAAUUCGUGGUGUAGCGGUGAAAUGCUUAGAUAUCACGAAGAACUCCGAUUGCGAAGGCAGUUCACUGGACUGCAACUGACACUGAGGCUCGAAAGUGUGGGUAUCAAACAGGAUUAGAUACCCGAGUAGU
RNAcentral lists this ribosomal RNA (459 nucleotides) under uncultured bacterium. Its description in RNAcentral is "partial 16S ribosomal RNA". It matches the Rfam family "Bacterial small subunit ribosomal RNA", at positions 338 to 794 of the family's 1533-position model. The record is from RNAcentral.